GAGGGUAUAGCUCAGUGGUAGAGUGCAUGCUUAGCAUGCACGAGGUCCUGGGUUCAAUCCCCAGUACCUCUG
RNAcentral lists this transfer RNA (72 nucleotides) under Camelus bactrianus (Bactrian camel). It matches the Rfam family "tRNA". Rfam says of the family: Transfer RNA (tRNA) molecules are approximately 80 nucleotides in length. Their secondary structure includes four short double-helical elements and three loops (D, anti-codon, and T loops). The record is from Rfam by way of RNAcentral. RNAcentral also lists the same sequence under 2 other names. Lineage: Eukaryota; Metazoa; Chordata; Mammalia; Artiodactyla; Camelidae.